GGCCUCGUAGCUCAGUUGGCUAGAGCGUUGGUUGUACUAAAGCCUUCCCCUUGCUGGCGUGGGUUCGAAUCGCACCAAGGCCG
RNAcentral lists this transfer RNA (83 nucleotides) under Schistocephalus solidus. It matches the Rfam family "tRNA". Rfam says of the family: Transfer RNA (tRNA) molecules are approximately 80 nucleotides in length. Their secondary structure includes four short double-helical elements and three loops (D, anti-codon, and T loops). Lineage: Eukaryota; Metazoa; Platyhelminthes; Cestoda; Diphyllobothriidea; Diphyllobothriidae. The record is from Rfam by way of RNAcentral.